RNAcentral lists this ribosomal RNA (268 nucleotides) under uncultured archaeon. Its description in RNAcentral is "partial 16S ribosomal RNA". It matches the Rfam family "Archaeal small subunit ribosomal RNA", at positions 718 to 982 of the family's 1478-position model. The record is from RNAcentral.
AGUCACUGACAUUAGACUACCCCCGUAGUCCCAGCCGUAAACUAUGCGCGUUAGGUGUACUGGUGACCACGAGUCGACCGGGGUGCCGAAGGGAAACCGUGAAACGUGCCGCCUGGGAAGUACGGUCGCAAGGCUAGAAACUUAAAGGAAUUGGCGGGGGAGCACCACAACGGGUGGAGCCUGCGGUUUAAUUGGACUCAACGCCGGUAAUCUCACCGGAUAGGACAGACAUAUGAUAGUCGGGCUGAAGACUCUACUUGAUGAUCUG